UACGUAGGGUGCAAGCGUUGUCCGGAAUUAUUGGGCGUAAAGAGCUCGUAGGCGGUCUGUCGCGUCGGCUGUGAAAACCCGGGGCUCAACCCCGGGCCUGCAGUCGAUACGGGCAGACUAGAGUGCGGUAGGGGAGACUGGAAUUCCUGGUGUAGCGGUGGAAUGCGCAGAUAUCAGGAGGAACACCGGUGGCGAAGGCGGGUCUCCGGGCCGUAACUGACGCUGAGGAGCGAAAGCGUGGGGAGCGAACAGG
This 253-nucleotide ribosomal RNA is filed under the name uncultured bacterium. RNAcentral describes it as "partial 16S ribosomal RNA". It matches the Rfam family "Bacterial small subunit ribosomal RNA", at positions 524 to 776 of the family's 1533-position model. The record is from RNAcentral.